RNAcentral lists this ribosomal RNA (685 nucleotides) under uncultured beta proteobacterium. Its description in RNAcentral is "bacterial SSU rRNA". It matches the Rfam family "Bacterial small subunit ribosomal RNA", at positions 94 to 773 of the family's 1533-position model. Lineage: Bacteria; Pseudomonadati; Pseudomonadota; Betaproteobacteria. The record is from RNAcentral.
AGUGGCGAACGGGUGAGUAAUACAUCGGAACGUGUCCGCUCGUGGGGGACAACCAGCCGAAAGGUUGGCUAAUACCGCAUGAGUUCUACGGAAGAAAGAGGGGGACCCGCAAGGGCCUCUCGCGAGCGGAGCGGCCGAUGACUGAUUAGCCAGUUGGUGAGGUAACGGCUCACCAAAGCAACGAUCAGUAGCUGGUCUGAGAGGACGACCAGCCACACUGGGACUGAGACACGGCCCAGACUCCUACGGGAGGCAGCAGUGGGGAAUUUUGGACAAUGGGCGCAAGCCUGAUCCAGCUAUUCCGCGUGUGGGAUGAAGGCCCUCGGGUUGUAAACCACUUUUGUAGAGAACGAAAAGACACCAUCGAAUAAAUGGUGUUGCUGACGGUACUCUAAGAAUAAGCACCGGCUAACUACGUGCCAGCAGCCGCGGUAAUACGUAGGGUGCGAGCGUUAAUCGGAAUUACUGGGCGUAAAGGGUGCGCAGGCGGUUGAGUAAGACAGAUGUGAAAUCCCCGAGCUUAACUCGGGAAUGGCAUAUGUGACUGCUCGACUAGAGUGUGUCAGAGGGAGGUGGAAUUCCACGUGUAGCAGUGAAAUGCGUAGAUAUGUGGAAGAACACCGAUGGCGAAGGCAGCCUCCUGGGACAUAACUGACGCUCAGGCACGAAAGCGUGGGGAGCAAAC